This 1298-nucleotide long non-coding RNA is filed under the name Gossypium barbadense (sea-island cotton). Its description in RNAcentral is "long non-coding RNA (GBAR_LNC018072)". The record is from RNAcentral. Lineage: Eukaryota; Viridiplantae; Streptophyta; Magnoliopsida; Malvales; Malvaceae.
AUCCCAAAUUCAAAUUAAAUAUACCAAUAAAAAUCAACUUACUACAUCACCACUUGCAAAAUAUAACUCUCCAAACAUUACUAUGGAGUAAACAAAAAAAAAACAGAACAUAUAUAUGUCUUACAAUUUUUCUUUAGUUUAGAAGGUUUGAUAAGUUACCAAACCUCUUGAAUUGCAACUACAGCUUCAGCUUGCCAACGAUUUAUGUCUGGAGCAAAUCGGUAGCUAACAGUCCAAUACCUACAAAAUUCCACAUAGAACAUCAAUUUACUGGAACAAUAGUGGUCAAAAUAAUAAUAUAUGACUUAUGUAACUAUUCACAAGUAAUGGUACUAUGACUUGAGAACAAUUCAGGGACAACAUGAAACUGAAAAAAGAUCAUCAAUACAAACUACUACAGCAGCAAUAAAAUUAUUAUUGCAAUUCCACCCAAAGUAUAUGGACGACAUCCCAUUGCCUCAGCACUAACAUAGCACAUUAUUUUUCUUAAUUGAACAAUUGGGCAAUAAACUGAUUUAAACAACAAAGUUGAGUUAGUAAAGGAAGAUAUGGUAGCUAUUAAAAAAACAUAUCUUACAUCUAGAUCAUACUUUUUAAAACAAUCUUCACAUAGUGCCCUAUCAUAUGUCCUCUUUGUUUUAUUUAUUUUCCACAUUAGCAUGUUGCAUCAAAGCUGGACAUUGACAACAAAUAUGCCCCUCACUAUAAUCACUAAGGAGGAAAUAUUUAUAUUGGUAGACAGUGUCAUACCGGUUGGAAAACUACUGGUUUUUUGUUGAGUUAGGAGCUCUGUCAAUGGAAGAAACAAAUGUAUAAUGAUUUGGUACCGGAAGAGACAACCGAAGCAAUGAGCCCAAUGAAGUUAAACACAAUUUCAAAUAACUUCAGAGGUUUCUAGCAAGAAGUGAAAGAUUUUAUAGGUUCUGGAAAACAAAUGCAAACCGAAACUCAAUCAUUCGGUUAGUUGAUUAUGUGGUUCUGUUUUGGUUUUAGAAGUGUUCAAACCACCGUGAGGCAAUCUUAAUGUAGAAGACAUGAAAUAUUAUAGUUUGUGCGGAAAUGUGCAUAAGAAUAUUGUGUAUUGUUGUUGUAUUUGAUUGUGGAGCAUAUGCACAGUAAUCCCAGAAUUUGUAAUUGAUAACUCAAGGAAUAGAUAUGAUUUCUGCAUUUACCUGUUACAAAAUGGUUGAGUUGAUGUUUAUCGAUGCUUAAUGCAGGCUAGCAAGCAGGCUGAGGACGCUCCCAAGAAGAUAAUCAGAGUUCAAAAGCGCUGUUGGAGAUCCAUACCACAUUUGUCG